CCUACGGGAGGCAGCAGUAAGGAAUCUUCCACAAUGGACGAAAGUCUGAUGGAGCAACGCCGCGUGCAGGAUGAAGGCUUUCGGGUCGUAAACUGCUUUUAUAUGGGAAGAUUAUGACGGUACCAUAUGAAUAAGGACCGGCUAACUACGUGCCAGCAGCCGCGGUAAUACGUAGGGUCCAAGCGAUAUCCGGAAUUACUGGGCGUAAAGCGUGUGUAGGUGGAUUAAUAAGUGUGAUGCGAAAUCCGGCGGCUCAACCGUUUGGACUGUGUCGCAUACUGUUAGUCUAGAGGACGGCAGAGGUAAGUGGAAUUACGGGUGUAGCAGUGAAAUGCGUAGAUAUCCGUAGGAACACCAAUGGCGAAGGCAGCUUACUGGGCCACACCUGACACUGAGACACGAAAGCGUGGGGAGCGAACAGGAUUAGAUACCCUGGUAGUCCACGCCGUAAACGAUGCAUACUAUUAGUAUGGGGUAUCGACCCCCUGUGCUGAGAAGCUAACGCGAUAAGUAUGCCGCCUGGGGAGUACGAGCGCAAGCUUAAAACUCAAAUGAAUUGACGG
This 563-nucleotide ribosomal RNA is filed under the name uncultured bacterium. RNAcentral's name for it is "bacterial SSU rRNA". It matches the Rfam family "Bacterial small subunit ribosomal RNA", at positions 338 to 916 of the family's 1533-position model. The record is from RNAcentral.